GGCGGACGGGUGAGUAACGCGUGAGAAUCUGCCUUUAGGACGGGGACAACAGUUGGAAACGGCUGCUAAAACCCGAUGUGCCCUUCGGGGUGAAAUAUUUAUAGCCUGAAGAUGAGCUCGCGUCUGAUUAGCUAGUUGGUAAGGUAAAGGCUUACCAAGGCGACGAUCAGUAACUGGUCUGAGAGGAUGACCAGUCACACUGGGACUGAGACACGGCCCAGACUCCUACGGGAGGCAGCAGUGGGGAAUUUUCCGCAAUGGGCGCAAGCCUGACGGAGCAAUACCGCGUGAGGGAGGAAGGCUCUUGGGUCGUAAACCUCUUUUAUCAGGGAAGAACACAAUGACGGUACCUGAUGAAUCAGCAUCGGCUAACUCCGUGCCAGCAGCCGCGGUAAUACGGAGGAUGCAAGCGUUAUCCGGAAUUAUUGGGCGUAAAGCGUCCGCAGGUGGUUUUGAAAGUUUGCUGUCAAAGCGCGAGGCUCAACUUCGUACCGGCGGUGAAAACUUCAAGACUAGAGUUUGGUAGGGGUCACGGGAAUUCCCAGUGUAGCGGUGAAAUGCGUAGAUAUUGGGAAGAACACCAGCGGCGAAAGCGCGUGACUGGGCCUGAACU
This 613-nucleotide ribosomal RNA is filed under the name uncultured bacterium. Its description in RNAcentral is "bacterial SSU rRNA". It matches the Rfam family "Bacterial small subunit ribosomal RNA", at positions 97 to 741 of the family's 1533-position model. The record is from RNAcentral.